Molecule: ribosomal RNA, 373 nt
Filed under: uncultured organism
Description: bacterial SSU rRNA
Rfam family: Bacterial small subunit ribosomal RNA
Source: RNAcentral
CGUAGGGUGCGAGCGUUAAUCGGAAUUACUGGGCGUAAAGCGUGCGCAGGCGGUUUGUUAAGAUAGGCGUGAAAUCCCCGGGCUCAACCUGGGAACUGCGCUUAUGACUGGCAAGCUAGAGUACGGCAGAGGGGGGUGGAAUUCCACGUGUAGCAGUGAAAUGCGUAGAGAUGUGGAGGAACACCAAUGGCGAAGGCAGCCCCCCUGGGUCGAUACUGACGCUCAUGCACGAAAGCGUGGGUAGCAAACAGGAUUAGAUACCCUGGUAGUCCACGCCCUAAACGAUGUCAACUAGGUGUUGGGAGGGUAAAACCUUUUAGUACCGGAGCUAACGCGUGAAGUUGACCGCCUGGGGAGUACGGCCGCAAGGUUA